RNAcentral lists this small nuclear RNA (22 nucleotides) under Arabidopsis thaliana (thale cress). RNAcentral's name for it is "snRNA_18604". The record is from RNAcentral. Lineage: Eukaryota; Viridiplantae; Streptophyta; Magnoliopsida; Brassicales; Brassicaceae.
ACCCAUUUUGACACUCCUAGUU